Sander lucioperca (pikeperch) is the source of this 388-nucleotide long non-coding RNA. RefSeq lists it as uncharacterized. The transcript is spliced from 3 exons. The record is from RefSeq and is a predicted model, not a curated record. NCBI's taxonomy places the organism in Eukaryota, Metazoa, Chordata, Actinopteri, Perciformes, Percidae.
UUCAGUCUCGUGGUGGUGGCUGCUGAUCGUUGUGUCUGUGGCUGUUGCAGCUCUCUUAAUAAUCACUGUGGCUGUCUUCAGAUGGAGGAGAGCUAAAGGGAAAAAACUAAUCACAAAUAACGACAUGGCUGAUCCUGAAGGUGAUGUUUCCUACGCCUCCGUCAGCUACACCAAGAAGACCAACAGGAGAGCCCAGGUAAACUAUCUAAUAUAUCACAGUGUUGGUGUUAAUGGAUUAGUAAUCUUUUUAAUCCUUGAAGCAGAUAUUAAUGAUUCAUGAUUCUGAGUCUCAGCCUCUGUGUUCCAAGACAAGUUUGCUGUGAAUUUUCAUGAUAACAACACAAUGAAUGGCGGAGUUUUGUCGGUGCCCCCUAUUAGAUACAGCAGC